This 484-nucleotide ribosomal RNA is filed under the name uncultured bacterium. RNAcentral describes it as "partial 16S ribosomal RNA". It matches the Rfam family "Bacterial small subunit ribosomal RNA", at positions 29 to 507 of the family's 1533-position model. The record is from RNAcentral.
AUUGAACGCUGGCGGCAUGCCUUACACAUGCAAGUCGAACGGCAGCACGGACUUCGGUCUGGUGCCGAGUAGCGAACGGGUGAGUAAUGUAUCUGAACGUACCUUUCAGUGGGGGAUAACGUAGCGAAAGUUACGCUAAUACCGCAUAUUCUGUGAGCAGGAAAGCAGGGGAUCGAAAGACCUUGCGCUGAUUGAGCGGCCGAUAUCAGAGUAGCUAGUUGGUGGGGUAAAGGCCUACCAAGGCGACGAUCUGUAGCGGGUCUGAGAGGAUGAUCCGCCAGACGGGAGCUGAGACAGGGUCGAGACUCCGACGGGAGGCAGCAGUGGGGAAUUUUGGAGAAGGGAGGCAAGCGUGAUCCAGCCAUGCCGCGGGAGUGAAGAAGGCCUUCGGGUGGGAAAGCUCUUUCGGCCGGGAAGAAAUAGAAUAGGCUAAUACCCUGUGUGAAUGACGGUACCGGAAUAAGAAGCACCGGCUAACUACGUG